UACGUAGGGGGCAAGCGUUGUCCGGAAUUAUUGGGCGUAAAGCGCGCGCAGGCGGCUUCUUAAGUCUGAUGUGAAAGCCCACGGCUCAACCGUGGAGGGUCAUUGGAAACUGGGGAGCUUGAGUGCAGAAGAGGAGAGUGGAAUUCCACGUGUAGCGGUGAAAUGCGUAGAUAUGUGGAGGAACACCAGUGGCGAAAGCGGCUCUCUGGUCUGUAACUGACGCUGAGGCGCGAAAGCGUGGGGAGCAAACAGG
RNAcentral lists this ribosomal RNA (253 nucleotides) under uncultured bacterium. RNAcentral describes it as "partial 16S ribosomal RNA". It matches the Rfam family "Bacterial small subunit ribosomal RNA", at positions 524 to 776 of the family's 1533-position model. The record is from RNAcentral.